UAGCCUUGACAUACUACAGAAUUUGACAGAGAUGUUGAAGUGCCUUCGGGAGCUGUAAUACAGGUGCUGCACGGCUGUCGUCAGCUCGUGUCGUGAGAUGUUGGGUUAAGUCCCGCAACGAGCGCAACCCUCGUCCUUAGUUACUAACGGUUUGGCCGAGGACUCUAAGGAGACUGCCUUCGUAAGGAGGAGGAAGGUGAGGACGACGUCAAGUCAUCAUGGCCCUUACGGCUAGGGCAACACACGUGCUACAAUGGUUAGGACAAUGAGAAGCGAUACCGCGAGGUGGAGCAAAUCUAUAAACCUAAUCUCAGUUCGGAUAGCAGUCUGCAACUCGACUGCUUGAAGCUGGAAUCACUAGUAAUCGUAAAUCAGCUAUGUUACGGUGAAUACGUUCCCGGGUC
RNAcentral lists this ribosomal RNA (404 nucleotides) under uncultured bacterium. RNAcentral's name for it is "bacterial SSU rRNA". It matches the Rfam family "Bacterial small subunit ribosomal RNA", at positions 976 to 1380 of the family's 1533-position model. The record is from RNAcentral.